AUCAGUGAGAUCAAACAAAACAUACCCAAUCAGUGAAGAAGCCAGGCCAGUCCCAAAAAGCCAAUGGGGGGCCAGAAGACCCUCAUCCAUAUACCACCAGAUAACCAGAAAUACACAAACACUGCACAGCUGCGGGAUCACCACACUGGACUCAAAUACCAUAGCCCAAUAUUGGUAUUUCCGAGCAUUGAUGUUUUUCCAGAGCUCUUCCAGGAACCGCUGAUCCACAUAGUUAUCAGGAAAGGGCUGUUGCUCAUACAAGACCCUCUGCCACUUUACCUCCUUGGUGUUAGUUACAGGUUGGGUACACAUUAUCCUUUCAUUCAAACUCAGGCCAGUUUAAUUAUCCCUGUCACAGAGGUCCAUAUGGUUCUUGUUGAUGACAUUUUGAAAUGAGACCUCCCUGGAAAUUCCAUGCCUUGGUUGAUAUUCUACCGACCUUUCCUUGUUUUCAAAGACAGCAAUCCAGGCCAGGCCUACAAUAGAUGAGUUUGUCUCUGAGGCAGGAUAUAAUACAGCCAAGUUCCUGUCUGAGAGUUCCUGGGGAUGUGUGGCUGGGGGAUGGUGGUUGCCUGCCUUUUUCCUUGUAAGGGAAUUUUUUUUUUUUUUUUUUUUUGAGAUGGAGUCUCGCUCUGUCGCCCAGGCUGGAGUGCAGUGGCGCAAUCUCGGCUCACUGCAACCUCUGCCUCCCAGGUUCACGCCAUUCUCCUGCCUCAGCCUCCCAAGUAGCUGGGACUGCAGGCACCCGCCACCAUGCCUGGCUAAUUUUUUUGUAUUUUUAGUAGAGACGGGGUUUCACCGUGUUAGCCAGGAUGGUCUCGAUCUCCUGACCUCGUGAUCCACCCGCCUUGGCCUCCCAAAGUGCUGGGAUUGUAGGCGUGAGCCACUGCGCCCUGCCAUGAGGGUACUUUUAAAGAAGGUAACAUCUUCCAUGGUGUAUUCAAUGAGGUCAUGUCUGGAAUUGUUCCCUUGAGGUGGAGGCUGCUUUGUGGCCACUGUGCCUGGCGGUUGUAUGAUCCUGGGUUCCUGGGCUGAGAAGCCACAGCCUCAGAGUGUUUGGGGCCUUUUCCUCCCGCUCCAAGGCUGAAGGAGAGGAGCUUACCUCCAACUGCACAGCGCUGAUCACCACUUCCUGCAGUCAUUCUUCUGAAUCUCAAAAACUCUUCUUUUGUAAGAGUAGAUUCUUGCAAGAUAUUUUUCCCCUCCUGAGUUCUUACAUUGCCAGAGUUCCAUUUGGACAGUUUGAAAUCUUGAUGCAUGAAUAACUGGCUUCACAGACCCUUGGCCCCCCACUACCUCGGUGUCCACUGGUGGAGUUCUGCAACUGGCAAAAGUCAAGAAUGAAGGAAGCAAACUUCAGAACCACAAUAUUCAUAUUGAAUCAUUUUGUUGUUGCUCUAUGAAGAUAAGCUAAUUUUCUUCCUGGAAUCUCAUAGGAUUAUUACUAAGGGCCAGGGAGAUCCACUUCGUUCAUUUAGUCACUCAGGAAGCAUUGCUAAGCAUCCCCCUGUACCUUCCCCUACAGUUCUCCUUCCAAAACGAAACAUCCUUUGGAGUGUGUUGUCCUCCAGAGUCGAAUGGAUUCUAUAUGCUGCAUUCAGUAACAGGUUGUGGAGACAAGUGUCUUUUCCUGAAAUUGCUAAGUGUAUUUGGCAGUACUUUACUACUUGUGGAUAGAACUGAGAGUGAGGUCAGUAUCACCAAGCCUUUUGGAUUUCUUCAAUAGUCUCAUGGAUGAGUGAAUGUUUAGAGUAACUGCUACUUUGUUGGCUCUUGGUUGGGAUUCUCAGUCCCGGUGUUUUUAAAAAUCUCAUUCCGGCCGGGCGCGGUGGCUCACGCCUGUAAUCCCAGCACUUCGGGAGGCUGAGGCAGGCAGAUCACCUGAGGUCAGGAGUUCAAAACCAGCCUGACCAACAUGGCAAAACCCGUCUCUAUUAAAAAUACAAAAAUUAGCCGGGUGUGGUGGCACAUGCCUGUAAUCCCAGCUACUCGGGAGGCUGAGGCAGGAGAAUCACAUGAACCCUGGAGGUGGAGGUUGCAAUGAGCCAAGAUCACACCAUUGCACUCCAGCCUGGGUGACAGAGUGAGACUCCGUCUCAAAAAAAAAAAAAAAAAAAUCUCAUUCCGUCUAAAGCAAGCUACAAAAUGUGAUUAUUUAUGUCACGAUAUGAUCCAGCCAUAAAUGUACUUCAGGUAAGAAGGACACUGACAUGAUAUCUUACUGAUCAAAUGCAGUCGGUAGGUAUAUAUGAACAUUUUUCUCUGUGAAGAAAAGCUAUUAAUAAGUUUGACUUAAUAGGCCUGUAGUAUGCACAUACUGGCCAAGAUUCUAAAUGGAUUAUUCAGCAGUUCUGUUUUUGUGGAGGUGCUUAUUCUCAUUUCUCCAAAGCCUUAAGAUUCCUGGGAAUAGAGGAAAUGUUGCUGCCACCAACUUUGCUGGUGAAUUUCAAAGAGAAUAGGUGUUUGCUGUUUGAUUUCCAGUGACCUUUUGGCGAGCUCUGAUUUAUAUGUAGAACAUUUGUGUUUCUUUUCAUUUUGAGGCCAGGUGGUAGAGUGGAAAGACUGGGAGCUGUCAGGAAACCAAGGCUUGGAUCUCCACUCUGUUACGUACCAGCUGGGGCAAAUCAGGGCCCAUUCCCAACUCCUUUAAAAUGAAAGGACUAGACUUGGUCUUUAAGCUCCCUUCCGAUUCUAACAUUUGGUGGUAGCAGGAUUGUGCACAAAGCUCCUGAUUUAGAGAAAGAUCUGGGUUUUAGUCUUUUUUCCUCUAUAGCCGCCUUACCGGUUGUACAACAUUGGGCCAGCCAUUCUCCCCAAGGCCUCGGUAUUUUCAUUGUUAAAUGGGAACAAUCCUAAUUCACACUGUUGCUGUGAGGAUUACAUUUGGUAAUGAAUGAUAGAAUGCUUUGUACAUGGAAAAGGACUAUACCUUUCUUUUUUAACUACAAAGGCAAACAUGUAACCCUCUACCUGUGGACGCACAUUUGCUAUGGUGUUACAUUCCACUGGUAGCUCCCAACCUCCCUUCAUUCAAGCACAUUUUACAGGCCUACAGGGAAGGUUUUCUUCCUGUCCUCUCCUAAGACUUGUUCACGUUCGUCAUCUCUUCUAUACUAGAGCUGCAGUCUUACAUUUGCUUACUUCUUGACAUCCACCCCCACCCCGGUGAUUUCUCCCCAUCUCCACCUCUAUAUUAUUUGAACUAAAUGAAUUCAUGAAUGAACAAAUGAGUGGAUGAAUGAAUGGUAAUGGAUCAUGGGCUAUGAAGUCAUAUUUAAAGGCACUAUCUCAUUUAAAAACAAUCUAAAUAAAUAACUACAAUGAUA
This 3326-nucleotide long non-coding RNA is filed under the name Pongo abelii (Sumatran orangutan). RNAcentral describes it as "lincRNA". Lineage: Eukaryota; Metazoa; Chordata; Mammalia; Primates; Hominidae. The record is from RNAcentral.